RNAcentral lists this long non-coding RNA (3661 nucleotides) under Mus musculus (house mouse). Its description in RNAcentral is "long non-coding RNA chr6:52758546-52762207". The record is from RNAcentral. Lineage: Eukaryota; Metazoa; Chordata; Mammalia; Rodentia; Muridae.
UCCCAGCACUCAGGAAACAAGGUCAGCCUUGUCUACAGGACAGCAAGGACUGACUAUACAGAGAAACCAUGUGUGUGGUGUGUAUGGGGGAUGCAGGAGGUAGUAUUUUUUUCAGACUUAACACUUUAGGCUUUAUAUACUAAAGAUUAAGUUCAGAGAUGAUUGGAAUGUAUCAAUUAUCAGUGUAACCCUAAUUAUGACUUUCUAAAUAACUACCUACAAUCCUUUGAUUGUGGUCUGCUGGCCUGGAAGAAACAAAGUAUGAAGAUGCAAAGAUACUAUGCAAAGCAGAAUACUGCCAUUUCAGUUUUAUAUUUAUAUCCUGUAAAUUUUAAGGUAAAAUUUAUUAUCUUUAUCAUAUACUAGUUUUCUUUUUCUUUUUUUGAGAAAAUCCCCUUUAGACAUUGUUAAUAUUUAUAUGAUUUUUUUCUAGUAGCAACAUAAAAAUGAUAAUUAAAUUAGCUUAUAUGGUGUAAGAUUAUUAUUAUUAUUUUGGUUUUGGGAUAGGGUCUUUCUGCAUACCAUUGGCUGUCCUGGAACUCAGUAUAUAGACCAGGGUGUUCUCCUACUCCUAGAAAUCCACCUGCUUGUUCCUCCCAGUGCUGAGAUUGAAGGCAUAGGUUACCGUGUUUGACUAAAAGAUUAUUUUUAAGAGAUUUCCCCCCAUUUAAUUAAUGAAUAAAAUUUCUUAGAACAGUUCUUUUGUGGGGUGGGAACUCCCUUUUGCAUAACAGUUCUUAGAUAUUUUGUGCACUGAGAUAAAUUUCAAGGAAAUGGUUUAUCGUGCUCUUUGCAAGUACAGUGGUAUCAUGACCCGUUUCUCAUUUAAUAUAGUUUGCUGCAUUUAAUUGCUAUUAACCUUUGCAGAAACUGAUCAGUGUUCAGACAGGCAUGAUUUUAGACCUAGUGUUCAACACUCAUAAUGGAGAAAAAUGUAUUUCUCCCUCCUGCCUUUUGGCCUCCCGUGUCCAUUAUUGGGAAUAAUUAGGAAAACUGUCAGAACUUUUGUAGUCUGUUUAAGGUCUCUAGUAUUAUCUUACUGCUUUUUCUACAAUUUUCCUUUCCACCUUGCAUAUCUAAUCUGAUCACUCUUGGCAUAGAUGUUACAUGUGACAAGCCUUUCCUUUCCACAGUCAUCUGCUUCAGCUUAAUUAGCAGCGUGUUCUUUCUGGUCUGUGUGCUUUGCCCUCCUGCAAACCCAUGAGAAACAGUGUUAGCGUCUUGGGCUCAUUUGCUGAGAUGCUUAGAUUGGCUAAUGAGAGAGAAGGGUUCUUACUAUGUGUGCCUGGAGUAGCUGUAGUUUAUAAACAGAAAAAUUUUCCGUACUUUUUAUUUACAUCAUUUGCAAAUGAUGAGUUUUACUAUGUAGUUUUAGUAAGAAUAGGAAAGUAGUAGAUUUUGCUGUGAGAGUGGUUCGUGGUCACAGUGCCCUAAUGGGCACCUUGGAGUAAGAGUUGAGCUGUCCUACUCUUUUAGCCUAUGCUGCAACCUCCAGCUGCCACUUCCUCUCUUGUACUAGAAACUGGUGGCUUUCAGAUCCCUUCAUAAGUCUCGUAUACCUAAUAAUUGUAAUGAUAUUACAGGGAGUAAGUGUUUCUCUAGCUCUUUGCCUGCUGAGCCUUAUAUACAUGAUAGGUCACUUAUUUACCAUGGUAGUGUUAUAGAGGCGGAUUGUCAGCUUUGCUAGUUGCUAGUGGAAGAAGCUGAGGAACAGGUUAACUAGUUAGGCCUAAUCACACCACUGGUAAAGUAGACAUAGGAUCAGAACCUCUUCAGGUCAUGUGUGAAAGCUGUGGUUUUAACUGUCUCUCAGCUGUGGCUACAUCAGAGUUCUGUACUUCUCAUAGCACCCUGAACAUUUUCCUCACAUACUAAUAUAUUUAGUUACCUUUAGAAAUAGCAUGUCUGAAUUAAGACUUUGUGUUUAUUUUUAAAUAACCAUAGUCACCAUCGGGAUGUGUGUGAUCAUUGGCCACUGUACAGCUUUUUGAGCUUUGGAAUCACAUUUGACAAGCUAAUUGCUUACUUCACGUUAGCUUUUCUAUAGCACUUGCUUUGCAUUUCGGCAGGGCCAGGGACUCAGCUUCUCAGAGUUAGGGUGGCCUGGAAGAGUUAGCACUGUCCAGAGCUGAAACGGACGGAGCAGGGGUUGAAUUGGGUUUUCAGUGCUGCCUGACAAACACAGGAUUAAAGUCCAAUAGAACCCAUAUGAAUUUCAGUGGUAAAUUUCAGUUUUUAGAACCAUGAUCUUUACUUUACUACUCAUUAAGUGUGGUUUGUAUAUAAGCAGUGGUACGGCCUCGAGAAUUGCAGAAGUGGAGGCUUUCCUGCCUCCAGCUCCCUGAGAAUCAGUGGAUAUGUGGCAGUCGUUGUUUCAGGUGCAGCGAUCCUGAGUUUAAGACUAGAUAUUUCCCUCCCUCAGUACACAGCUCCUUCCUACUUUCAUGCAUUUUUUUUUCUUCAUUCUUAUUUCUAUUAAGGUGUUUUAUUGCAGCUUUCUGAAAUUCUGAAAUGAGUCUUUAAUAAUGACCCCCCCACCCCCACCUCACUGAAGAUCAUUUUGUUGGUUUACAUUUUUCUGUCACAAUCUUAGCAUUUCUUGUAAGAAGUGUGGUUCUCAAUGAGUCUUGUGACUCUAGAAUUAUUGAAAAUCACACUUUGAAAGAAUCAGGGCUGUUCCCUGUUUGUCCUAAUGUACGUACGGCUUGUGGCUUCAUUUUAAAUUGGCCAUCAGGUUAAAAGUACUUGUUCUAGUGUGUUUACAAAAAAUGAUAUACAAAGUAUUCAAUUAAUUUUUACUGAGUAGCCAGAAAAGUACAGUGGAAGAUUCCUCUCUGGAUCGUUGUUUCUCUUGAUUAGACAGAAAUAGAUUUCUCUUCCUUUCUGGUUUUACUUUUGUUUUAGCCUCCUCUGCCGUUUAAAGGUUAGGUUACCUUAGCAUGGUAGUGCUGGGCAGUAGCUAUUGGAAUACAGGUCCCCCUGGAAAGGAUGAAGGGCGUGCUCAGCAGUCAGACUAGUGUAGUUAUCACGGAGUCAGUGUGGAAACAUUUUUUUGCCACUACAAAGGAAAGAAACUCUUGUUCUUUACCUUACCCCCUCCCUUCUAUUCCUUUACCCCAGAAAAUCUCCAUCUGCUUCCUUUUGCACUGCCUAUUCUCAUCAUUCAGCUCCCUAAAUCACACCGUAUCGUACGAGGUCUAUGGGCUUCCCCAGCAGAUUUUCAAAAAGUUAUCACUUUUUUAGCAUGCAUUUAUGUUUAGCAUGGAAAUGUGCUUGCUUCCUUCAUUGCUGGAUAAUACUCCAUCAUCUGAAUCGUGUAUAUACAUACUUAGAUUUAUUUUUAUUUUUUGUAUAUGAGUAUUUGCCUACAUGUAUGUCUGUGUCCCAUGCAUGUGCCUGGUGCUAGUGGGGGCCAGAAGGAAGCAUUGAUCCCCUGGAACUGGAGUUACAGGCAGUUGUGAGCCACUGUGUGGUCAUGGGAACUGAACCUGGUUCAUUGCAAGAGCCAGUGAGUGCUCUUAACCACUGAGCCAUCUCACCAGCCCCUUAAUAUUGCAUAUUUUAUGUCUUUUUUAUUGGAUUGCAUCAUUUUCCCCAUUGGGCUACUGUGAACAGUGCUUUUCUGGGAUAAUACAUCUUUUCACUUUCUUGGGGACACAAU